This 3571-nucleotide long non-coding RNA is filed under the name Fragaria vesca (wild strawberry). Its description in RNAcentral is "long non-coding RNA (FVES_LNC000148)". Lineage: Eukaryota; Viridiplantae; Streptophyta; Magnoliopsida; Rosales; Rosaceae. The record is from RNAcentral.
CUAAUAAAACCUGCAAACACUUCUGAAAAUUUAAAUCCAACCAUAAACUCCUGGAGCCUUCGUGCUCCCCAAAUCACAACAUCUCCCAAUUUAAUUUCUAACUUAAACAAGAAAAUCUCAUAGCCAACAGCCACAGUUCAGAGCAACUCUAUUUGAAAGGAAAUGAACUAGAAAUAUAAAAAUGAGCGGAAGCUACACUAUUGACUAUGCCUCUUCUCCAUAUACGUCCGACCUCAACUAUGCAAUCCUGCAAACUGGGCAUUUUUAAAACGAAGAGCCCAGGGGAAAACAUUUGAAAACGAAACGUUAGAGUGAGUGGACAAAAAUAAAUUAACGAAUAAAAUAUCUAAUGUUUCCCCAAAUCAAUUUCCAAGGAAAAUCGAAUACAUGCUGCAAGCGAUAAAACUUUUAUCUCAUAAAUAUCGAGUCUCUCAGGCUCUAUAAUAUAUGUAUGUAUUUACACACGUCCAUACUCCCUAUAUAAAUUCAUGGGUCUAUAUAGGGCUACUACGCUCGCGUCCAACGCUCACGUCACGCCUUAAUGCGGUGCUACACUACGCCAUUAAGGUGGACAGACGGGUGUAUAAAUAUGUGCCCAUACCCCCUAUAUGAAUUAAACACUCAUGUAGGGCUNNNNNNNNNNNNNNNNNNNNAUUUUUCGGUAACUCUCCAAGAGAAAUAAAAGCGUCAAAAUUAAAUGACGUCAAAACUCCAACAAUUUUAAAUGCUCAACCAAAACCAUAGCAUGCAUAUUAUUUAAAAUAAAAGUCCACUCACAGAAUGAGGCCUAAGCCUUCCAAUGCUCGGAAUACUCCUCGAGCGCCGCCUCCAACUAAUCACACUCUCUAGCCAAUCCCACGUCUGACGAUAAACAGAAGAAUAAAUUGGUCAGACCGGACUCCAAUAAUCAUUAACGAUUCGACUUCUUCCUAGUUUGACUAGGUUUACUGAGUUGACCAGGAUUGACCAAGUUUGACCAAUUGAUUUAUGAUUAGCCAACUAACGAAGCCUCAACAAUUUCCAUUUUAACCUUCGACUUAACAAAUCGGGUUACCUUGAUUACUCUACCAUCCAAUUUAAUUCCAACAACCAUCUUAAUAAUUCAAUUACAAUUGAUUCUUCAUCCAAACAAUCCUCAAUCACUCUCUCUCUAUACAACUUCACACCAUAAAUCACUAAGGGCACCCAAAAUGGGUUUCCAUAAAUAGAAAGUUUUCAAAAAAGGGAAAGUUUCCCCAAAAUAGGAACUUUCCUCACUUAGAAAGAUUUCCGAUUAUAAACCGACAAACUUUCCUAUUUAUGAAACAACGCAAAACAAAAAGGAAAACUUCAAUAACUACCUCAACUGCUCUUGUCGGACUAACUGCCUUCGUCGGAUUCCGACGACUUGUCGGAAUAUUCUGCCGGAUUCCGGCCACUUGCCGGAAAAUUGGCCAUAGUCUCCCUGCAUCUUCUAAUCUCCAAGUUAUCGACAAUCAUGCAGAAAAUAAACGAUUCAAACACCAACCAACCGAAACCACACAACAACAACAACACCAAAGAUCAAGACUUACCACUCACCUUGCUAUAAUCCUCGCCGAAACCAUGUUCACUGACAGCCCAAAACCGCAGUCAUGAUCGGAGGACACUCAAUCAAACACCCAAAACCACUAGCCUCCUUCCGAAACAGUAACAACUUCCUCCAAACUUCUUCCAAAGUGCGUCGGGGCUCCCACCAACCACAACUAGGUUCGCCUGAGCUCGACGGACACACUGAAAUUCAAGAACAAAAAGCCCUUGUUGGAGACCGAACUUCAAACCCAGAAAACCAGAGAAAGGGGGAAAAUCUGAUUAGGGCUCUAUAUUUGGAAAUCGAAGCUCAAGGAAGACCGAAAAACUAGAGGAAGUGAUGAGCAUACCUUCACGAAGCACAAGCUCACCGGAAAAGAAAAGAUUCGGCCGGAAUUUGGGUUUUGGGGAUUUAGGGUUCUUGUUUCGAUCGAACGGGAUAGAUGAUGCCUGGCAAGUUGAUGGGUAGCAGUAGAGAGAGGAGAGAGAGACAAGUCGAUUGGGGGUGGUAGCUCGACCAGCGACGGCCGGACGACGGCGCUCCGACGUGGAGAAGAGAGAGAGAGAAGAGAAAGUCGGGAGGGAGGAGAGAGAGAAGAGAGAAUAGGGUUUGGGUCUUUUUUUUUUUUUCCAAACCGGUUCCUACCCAAACCAAAUAUAAACCGAACUCCAAAAAAUAAAACACCCCGAAAAAUAAUACCCGAAUAAAAAUUACCUUUUACUAGCUAAAAUUUACCAUUUUUACCGUCGUCAUAUUUUCCUCCUACAAAUAAUCCUCCGAGCAUAACUGUCCCCGAAACCCCUCUAGGGACCAAUUAAACUAUAACUUCAAUGACGGAGACGGUAAAAUUCUUAUUAUAACCAAGCUAGUAAAUAAGGUAAAAAUUUACGGGUCAGGAUGUGACAACCUUGGCCCGCCUUGACCCUCCUUAGACCCGUCUUGGCCCGCCAUGACACGCCUUGAACCACCUUGGGCCGCCUUGACCUUCCUAGACCUGCCUAGGGCCGCCUUGACCCCCCUUGACCCACUUUGACCCGCCUUUACCCGUCUUGGCCCGCCUUGAACCACCUAGGGCCGCCUUGACCCUCCUAAACCCGCCUAGGGGUACCAAGAAGCGUACAUGACUCCCCAUGACUCGCCUAGGCCCGUCAAGGGGCUGCCUUUACAUGCCUUGACCCUCCUAGACCCGUCUAGGGCCGCCUUAACCCGCCUUGGCCCGCCUUGACCCUCCUCGGCCCUUCUAGGAUCACCUAUGGCUGCCAAGGGGGAGCCAUGAUCCACUUAGAGCUACCAAGGGGCUGCCUUUACACCUCUUGACCAGUCUAGGGCCGCCAAAGGGACCGCCUUAACACGCCUAGGGCUGCCAAGGGGACGUUUUGACCUGUCUAGGGCCGCCAAGGGGGCUGCCUUUACACGCCUAGGGUUGUUUUGACCUCCCUAGAGCUUGCCAUGACCAGCCUAUGGCCGCCAAGGGGCUGCCUUGGGCCGCCAUGGGGCCACCUUGACCCAUCUUGGCCGCCUUGACCCGCCUUAGUCUGCCUUGGCCGGCCUUGAUCCGCCUUGGUCCGCCUUGAUCCGCUUUGGGCCGCCAUAACCUGCCUUGACCAGUCUUUGACCCGCCAUGACCUGCCUUGACCCUUCUUUAACCGCAUUAUGGUGUGACGUGACCGUUAGACGCAAGCGUAGUAGCCCUAUAUGAGUGUUUAAUUCAUAUAGGGGGCAUGUGAACAUAUUUAUACACUCGUCUGUCCACCUUAAUAGCGUAAUGUAUCACCGCAUUAAGGCGUGACGUGAGCGUUAGACGCAAGCGUAGUAGCCCUGUAUGAAUUUAUAUUUUUCAUAAGGAUUCAUACAAGGAGUAUGGACGUGUGUAAAUACAUACAUAUGUUUAUAUAUAUUUUUGAGCUUGAGAGGCUCGAUAUUUUAUGAGUUGAAAGUUUUAUCGCUUGGGGCAUGCAUUCGCUUUUCUUUGAAAAUUUAAUUUGGGAAAGCAUAAAGAUAUUUAUUGCUCGUUUCUUUUAA